GGCCCAGACUCCUACGGGAGGCAGCAGUGAGGAAUAUUGGUCGAUGGGCGAGAGCCUGAACCAGCCAAGUAGCGUGCAGGAUGACGGCCCUAUGGGUUGUAAACUGCUUUUAUAAGGGAAUAAAGUGAGUCUCGUGAGACUUUUUGCAUGUACCUUAUGAAUAAGGACCGGCUAAUUCCGUGCCAGCAGCCGCGGUAAUACGGAAGGUCCGGGCGUUAUCCGGAUUUAUUGGGUUUAAAGGGAGCGUAGGCCGGAGAUUAAGCGUGUUGUGAAAUGUAGACGCUCAACGUCUGCACUGCAGCGCGAACUGGUUUCCUUGAGUACGCACAAAGUGGGCGGAAUUCGUGGUGUAGCGGUGAAAUGCUUAGAUAUCACGAAGAACUCCGAUUGCGAAGGCAGCUCACUGGAGCGCAACUGACGCUGAAGCUCGAAAGUGCGGGUAUCGAACAGGAUUAGAUACCCUGGUAGUCCGCACGGUAAACGAUGGAUGCCCGCUGUUGGUCUGAAUAGGUCAGCGGCCAAGCGAAAGCAUUAAGCAUCCCACCUGGGGAGUACGCCGGCAACGGUGAAACUCAAAGGAAUUGACGGGGGGCCCGCACAAGCGGAGGAACAUGUGGUUUAAUUCGAUGAUACGCGAGGAACCUUACCCGGGCUUGAAUUGCAGAGGAAGGAUUUGGAGACAAUGACGCCCUUCGGGGCCUCUGUGAAGGGUGCUGCAUGGUUGUCGUCAGCUCGUGCCGUGAGGUGGUCGGCUUAAGUGCCAUAACGAGCGCAACCCCUCUCCUUAGUUGCCAUCAGUUGAAGCUGGGCACUCUGGGGACACUGCCACCGUAAGGUGUGAGGAAGGUGGGGAUGACGUCAAAUCAGCACGGCCCUUACGUCCGGGGCUACACACGUGUUACAAUGGCAGGUACAGAGAGACGGUCCCUUGCAAAACGGAUCAAAUCCUUAAAGCCUGUCUCGGUUCGGACUGGGGUCUGCAACCCGACCCCACGAAGCUGGAUUCGCUAGUAAUCGCGCAUCAGCCAUGGCGCGGUGAAUACGUUCCCGGGCCUUGUACACACCGCCCGUCAAGCCAUGAAAGCCGGGGGCGCCUAAAGUCCGUGACCGUAAGGAGCGGCCUAGGGCGAAACUGGUAAUUGGGGCUAAGUCGUAACAAGGUAGCCG
Molecule: ribosomal RNA, 1167 nt
Filed under: uncultured Prevotella sp.
Lineage: Bacteria; Pseudomonadati; Bacteroidota; Bacteroidia; Bacteroidales; Prevotellaceae
Description: bacterial SSU rRNA
Rfam family: Bacterial small subunit ribosomal RNA
Source: RNAcentral